This 448-nucleotide ribosomal RNA is filed under the name uncultured prokaryote. RNAcentral describes it as "bacterial SSU rRNA". It matches the Rfam family "Bacterial small subunit ribosomal RNA", at positions 355 to 796 of the family's 1533-position model. The record is from RNAcentral.
UCGAGAAUCUUCCGCAAUGGACGCAAGUCUGACGGAGCGACGCCGCGUGGAGGACGAAGGCAUUAGUGUUGUAAACUCCUGUCACGGAUUAUGAAUGCGCGUACGUUAAUAGCGUGCGUGUUGACGUAAGUCCGAGAGGAAGCACCGGCUAACUCUGUGCCAGCAGCCGCGGUAAUACAGAGGGUGCAAACGUUGUUCGGAAUCACUGGGCAUAAAGCGCACGUAGGCGGCACGUUAAGUGUGGAGUGAAAUCCCACGGCUCACCCGUGGAACUGCUCUGCAUACUGACGAGCUCGAGGACGGUAGGGGAGAGCGGAACUCUUGGUGGAGCGGUGAAAUGCGUAGAUAUCAAGAGGAACACCGAUGGCGAAGGCAGCUCUCUGGUCCGUUUCUGACGCUGAGGUGCGAAAGCUAGGGUAGCGAACGGGAUUAGAUACCCCCGUAGUCC